RNAcentral lists this ribosomal RNA (660 nucleotides) under uncultured bacterium. RNAcentral's name for it is "bacterial SSU rRNA". It matches the Rfam family "Bacterial small subunit ribosomal RNA", at positions 94 to 788 of the family's 1533-position model. The record is from RNAcentral.
AGUGGCGGACGGGUGAGUAACGCGUGAGAAUCUGCCUUGGGGUCGGGGACAACCACUGGAAACGGUGGCUAAUACCGGAUAAGCCGAUUGGUGAAAGAUUUAUUGCCCGAAGAGGAGCUCGCGUCUGAUUAGCUAGUUGGUGAGGUAAGAGCUCACCAAGGCAGCGAUCAGUAGCUGGUCUGAGAGGACGAUCAGCCACACUGGGACUGAGACACGGCCCAGACUCCUACGGGAGGCAGCAGUGGGGAAUUUUCCGCAAUGGGCGAAAGCCUGACGGAGCAAGACCGCGUGAGGGAGGAAGGCUCUUGGGUUGUAAACCUCUUUUCUCAGGGAAGAAGCUCUGACGGUACCUGAGGAAUCAGCCUCGGCUAACUCCGUGCCAGCAGCCGCGGUAAUACGGAGGAGGCAAGCGUUAUCCGGAAUUAUUGGGCGUAAAGCGUCCGCAGGUGGCGAUUCAAGUCUGCUGUCAAAGCACGGGGCUUAACUCCGUAAAGGCAGUGGAAACUGAAUAGCUAGAGUGCCGUAGUGGUAGAGGGAAUUCCCGGUGUAGCGGUGAAAUGCGUAGAGAUCGGGAAGAACAUCGGUGGCGAAAGCGCUCUACUGGACGGCAACUGACACUCAGGGACGAAAGCUAGGGGAGCGAAUGGGAUUAGAUACCCC